This 2901-nucleotide ribosomal RNA is filed under the name Escherichia coli. RNAcentral's name for it is "23S ribosomal RNA". It matches the Rfam family "Bacterial large subunit ribosomal RNA". The record is from RNAcentral. Lineage: Bacteria; Pseudomonadati; Pseudomonadota; Gammaproteobacteria; Enterobacterales; Enterobacteriaceae.
UUAAGCGACUAAGCGUACACGGUGGAUGCCCUGGCAGUCAGAGGCGAUGAAGGACGUGCUAAUCUGCGAUAAGCGUCGGUAAGGUGAUAUGAACCGUUAUAACCGGCGAUUUCCGAAUGGGGAAACCCAGUGUGAUUCGUCACACUAUCAUUAACUGAAUCCAUAGGUUAAUGAGGCGAACCGGGGGAACUGAAACAUCUAAGUACCCCGAGGAAAAGAAAUCAACCGAGAUUCCCCCAGUAGCGGCGAGCGAACGGGGAGCAGCCCAGAGCCUGAAUCAGUGUGUGUGUUAGUGGAAGCGUCUGGAAAGGCGCGCGAUACAGGGUGACAGCCCCGUACACAAAAAUGCACAUGCUGUGAGCUCGAUGAGUAGGGCGGGACACGUGGUAUCCUGUCUGAAUAUGGGGGGACCAUCCUCCAAGGCUAAAUACUCCUGACUGACCGAUAGUGAACCAGUACCGUGAGGGAAAGGCGAAAAGAACCCCGGCGAGGGGAGUGAAAAAGAACCUGAAACCGUGUACGUACAAGCAGUGGGAGCACGCUUAGGCGUGUGACUGCGUACCUUUUGUAUAAUGGGUCAGCGACUUAUAUUCUGUAGCAAGGUUAACCGAAUAGGGGAGCCGAAGGGAAACCGAGUCUUAACUGGGCGUUAAGUUGCAGGGUAUAGACCCGAAACCCGGUGAUCUAGCCAUGGGCAGGUUGAAGGUUGGGUAACACUAACUGGAGGACCGAACCGACUAAUGUUGAAAAAUUAGCGGAUGACUUGUGGCUGGGGGUGAAAGGCCAAUCAAACCGGGAGAUAGCUGGUUCUCCCCGAAAGCUAUUUAGGUAGCGCCUCGUGAAUUCAUCUCCGGGGGUAGAGCACUGUUUCGGCAAGGGGGUCAUCCCGACUUACCAACCCGAUGCAAACUGCGAAUACCGGAGAAUGUUAUCACGGGAGACACACGGCGGGUGCUAACGUCCGUCGUGAAGAGGGAAACAACCCAGACCGCCAGCUAAGGUCCCAAAGUCAUGGUUAAGUGGGAAACGAUGUGGGAAGGCCCAGACAGCCAGGAUGUUGGCUUAGAAGCAGCCAUCAUUUAAAGAAAGCGUAAUAGCUCACUGGUCGAGUCGGCCUGCGCGGAAGAUGUAACGGGGCUAAACCAUGCACCGAAGCUGCGGCAGCGACGCUGAUGCGUUGUUGGGUAGGGGAGCGUUCUGUAAGCCUGCGAAGGUGUGCUGUGAGGCAUGCUGGAGGUAUCAGAAGUGCGAAUGCUGACAUAAGUAACGAUAAAGCGGGUGAAAAGCCCGCUCGCCGGAAGACCAAGGGUUCCUGUCCAACGUUAAUCGGGGCAGGGUGAGUCGACCCCUAAGGCGAGGCCGAAAGGCGUAGUCGAUGGGAAACAGGUUAAUAUUCCUGUACUUGGUGUUACUGCGAAGGGGGGACGGAGAAGGCUAUGUUGGCCGGGCGACGGUUGUCCCGGUUUAAGCGUGUAGGCUGGUUUUCCAGGCAAAUCCGGAAAAUCAAGGCUGAGGCGUGAUGACGAGGCACUACGGUGCUGAAGCAACAAAUGCCCUGCUUCCAGGAAAAGCCUCUAAGCAUCAGGUAACAUCAAAUCGUACCCCAAACCGACACAGGUGGUCAGGUAGAGAAUACCAAGGCGCUUGAGAGAACUCGGGUGAAGGAACUAGGCAAAAUGGUGCCGUAACUUCGGGAGAAGGCACGCUGAUAUGUAGGUGAAGCGACUUGCUCGUGGAGCUGAAAUCAGUCGAAGAUACCAGCUGGCUGCAACUGUUUAUUAAAAACACAGCACUGUGCAAACACGAAAGUGGACGUAUACGGUGUGACGCCUGCCCGGUGCCGGAAGGUUAAUUGAUGGGGUUAGCGCAAGCGAAGCUCUUGAUCGAAGCCCCGGUAAACGGCGGCCGUAACUAUAACGGUCCUAAGGUAGCGAAAUUCCUUGUCGGGUAAGUUCCGACCUGCACGAAUGGCGUAAUGAUGGCCAGGCUGUCUCCACCCGAGACUCAGUGAAAUUGAACUCGCUGUGAAGAUGCAGUGUACCCGCGGCAAGACGGAAAGACCCCGUGAACCUUUACUAUAGCUUGACACUGAACAUUGAGCCUUGAUGUGUAGGAUAGGUGGGAGGCUUUGAAGUGUGGACGCCAGUCUGCAUGGAGCCGACCUUGAAAUACCACCCUUUAAUGUUUGAUGUUCUAACGUUGACCCGUGAUCCGGGUUGCGGACAGUGUCUGGUGGGUAGUUUGACUGGGGCGGUCUCCUCCUAAAGAGUAACGGAGGAGCACGAAGGUUGGCUAAUCCUGGUCGGACAUCAGGAGGUUAGUGCAAUGGCAUAAGCCAGCUUGACUGCGAGCGUGACGGCGCGAGCAGGUGCGAAAGCAGGUCAUAGUGAUCCGGUGGUUCUGAAUGGAAGGGCCAUCGCUCAACGGAUAAAAGGUACUCCGGGGAUAACAGGCUGAUACCGCCCAAGAGUUCAUAUCGACGGCGGUGUUUGGCACCUCGAUGUCGGCUCAUCACAUCCUGGGGCUGAAGUAGGUCCCAAGGGUAUGGCUGUUCGCCAUUUAAAGUGGUACGCGAGCUGGGUUUAGAACGUCGUGAGACAGUUCGGUCCCUAUCUGCCGUGGGCGCUGGAGAACUGAGGGGGGCUGCUCCUAGUACGAGAGGACCGGAGUGGACGCAUCACUGGUGUUCGGGUUGUCAUGCCAAUGGCACUGCCCGGUAGCUAAAUGCGGAAGAGAUAAGUGCUGAAAGCAUCUAAGCACGAAACUUGCCCCGAGAUGAGUUCUCCCUGACUCCUUGAGAGUCCUGAAGGAACGUUGAAGACGACGACGUUGAUAGGCCGGGUGUGUAAGCGCAGCGAUGCGUUGAGCUAACCGGUACUAAUGAACCGUGAGGCUUAACCU